UACGAAGGGAGCGAGCGUUGUUCGGAAUCACUGGGCUUAAAGCGUACGUAGGCGGCUAUACAAGUCAGGAGUGAAAUCCCGGGGCUUAACCUCGGAAUGCCUUUUGAAACUGUAUAGCUUGAGUGCAGGAGAGGAAAGCGGAAUUCCUAGUGUAGCGGUGAAAUGCGUAGAUAUUAGGAGGAACACCAGUGGCGAAGGCGGCUUUCUGGACUGUAACUGACGCUGAGGCACGAAAGCGUGGGGAGCAAACAGG
Molecule: ribosomal RNA, 253 nt
Filed under: uncultured bacterium
Lineage: Bacteria
Description: partial 16S ribosomal RNA
Rfam family: Bacterial small subunit ribosomal RNA
Source: RNAcentral